AUGAAGCUGAUGCUGACUGUCUGUCUGGCUUCUGUUCUGCUCUACACAGCUGAGUCACUGCGCUGCUAUCAGUGCACCAAUGAAUCAUGUUCCAACUCAACCUCAGUCCUGUGUCCUCUCACGAGUACAGUGUGCAGAACUAUCACUUCAGUGAGGCUGAGCAAUACAAUUGCUAGUGUGACGGUGGGAAAAAACUGUUCCUCGCCGCUGUCCUGCAUCACUCCCAACAACGUUGAAACUGAAUGGUCUGUGAACCGAGGUUUUAAAAAAGAAGCCCACACACAGAUUUGCUGCACAACUGAUAACUGCAACCUCGGGACACUGGCUGUUCCCAAUCUUUUAACAAAUGGGAAGCAGUGUGUUGCAUGUGCAAGCUCAGCUGACAGCAUGGCAGGAACCUGCAACACCACACUGUCCUGUGCGGGAGUUGAGGACCGUUGCUUCAAUGGCACUAUGAUGUCAAACUCUACAGAGAUGUUGGAGCUCGGCUGUAUAUCCAGUAACCUCUGUGGUAUCCCACUCAUCCUGGAAGCUGUGCUUAGUGAAAAUGCUGUGGUCACCUGUGGAGCACCAUGGACCGUCAGCGUCAGUGGCCUCCUGCUGACCUUUGCUCUCACAGCAUGUAAAGUCCUUGUUUAGAGAAUAAACAUGCUCAAACACACAUUCAAAAAGAUAUCUCUGUAAUGGUUCAUUGAGUUAUGUGAUGAUGUCAUCUGUGUGCAGAUAACAUUAUGCACAUGCAUAACAGCACACCCAUACACACACAGAAAGAUGUAAUCACACGGAGAAGUCACAGACUUAGAGGCAGACACUAAUGCUUCAUGAAAGAGUCGGUGAUAACUGUUGAAGCCAGGCGAAACACGAAAUACCAGGACGCACGCUGAGUGACAGCCUGUCAGUCAACUCUUCAUGUCACAGACAUUAACAUACCCAAAUCCCUGCAGCUUGGAAAGCUUGAGCGCAGUCUUGAGGAGUGCUUCUGGUUUAUGACAUAACAUGCUUCUCUGUGGGACACACCACAGCUAUUUAGACCAGCACACCUGUUUCAGUCUGCAGCUGAGCAGAACAGCUUUUAACAUUUUGUUUCAGACCAUACAUGUGUGUUAUUUCUGUGAUUAAAUUUUAAGACUUUUAAGCUUUUUCCUCAUGUUAAUCAGUUAAGUCUUUAACUUCUUCUCAUUGCUUCUGUCAUUUUUUUCAGCAAAUACACCUUCAGUGUAUUCAUAUUAAAGCAAAAUAAUGUAUAUUUUUUAAAAUCUUAAAAUAACAGCUUCAAAAUCAUUUUGAUCGCACAAUCUCUUGUAACAGGAUGAAGGUAUCUCUGUCCUGUUUCUUCAGUGAUGUAGUAAUGUAACCUCAGCGAGAGCCGUUACAGCAUCACAAGAUACAUGUUUUCAACACAUCAUGAUGUCAUGAGUUUUGUUUGUAGUUGGCACCUACAUUACAUCUGACAAACUGUUACACACCUGGGGUUUCAAUCGAUCUUCAUUUGUAUAAUGCCAAUUCACAACAAAAGUUGAUUCUGGACACUUCAUGAGCAGUUCCUUUCAUGCCCUUUCAGUUUGAGAGUGUGAUUUAAGGUUUCUGUCUUAAUGUUUUCCUUCAGAACCCGCCCUGGUACUCAGAUAUCCCCUGCUUGUGCUUAGAAUUGCUCUGCUCUCAGAUGUUUUCUGGAAUACUCCUGUCACACUUCUCCAGUCAAUAGAAUGCUAGGUGGCGUGGCGACCCAUGAAAUGAUCCCUGCUUCGUUGCAGAUGUGUUGCUUUACUACUUAGGACAUCUGGUAAGAGUGCUAUAGGGGGACAUUCAGUGGCUUAACUGCUGUGAUCAUACAGAGUUUGGCUGCAUUUUUCUUCAGUGAAUUUCUACACAAUGAUCAAUUCUAAAACAAAAACCUCACCUCCAUACAUGUUUCAGUAGGAAUCUGAUUUAGAAUUUUGGAGAAAUUAUCAACACCUGUGCCACUAGGCGGCACUGUUAUGAGGCAGACACUACUUGAGACACUGUGGAAAGAUAGAGACUACUGACUGUACAAUACUGUGUUGCUCCUCAAACUCAUAUUAUGCUGUUCUGUUAGCCUGUUAAUAACCAGCACUUGUCUCGUCUGGACUUUUUUCUGUGCUUUUGUGUGUUUUGGUGUUCUCUGUGAUUAAAAAUCUGAAUUUGAAUUUUCCAAAAUGGAGGUCCCAUGAGGUCCACCAGAAGAGGUGUGACUUCGGCUCUCUAUUGGCUGGGUUAUUUUGAAAAAAUUAUUACACAAAACAUCUAAGAGUGCAGGAGAUACCUGGAGGAAGUUGCAGAAGUUUCACGGAGCAGAGGGGCUGAAGCUCGACUGCAUUAAAUCAGUCCAAGCCACAAUAUAUUUGAGCACAGUCAGAACAAUCCUUAGCACAUCCAUCCAUCCAUCCAUCCAUCCAUUUUCGUCCGCUUAUCCGGGGCUGGGUCGCGGGGGCAGCUGCCUGAGCAGGGACACCCAGACUUCCCUCUCCCCGGACACUUCCUCCAGCUCUUCUGGGAGGAUCCCAAGGCAUUCCCAGGCCAGCUGAGUGACAUAGUCACACCAGCGUGUCCUGGGUCUUCCUCAGGGUCCCCCUCCCCCCCCGGCGGGACAUG
Sparus aurata (gilthead seabream) is the source of this 2613-nucleotide long non-coding RNA. NCBI's taxonomy places the organism in Eukaryota, Metazoa, Chordata, Actinopteri, Spariformes, Sparidae. The record is from Ensembl.